AUCGCUUCUCGGCCUUUUGGCUAAGAUCAAGUGUAGUAUCUGUUCUUAUCAGUUUAAUAUUUGAUACGUCCUCUAUCAAAAUUUCGAGAAGAGCUAACACCUAUCCUACUCAAACUCUUCCAGAAAAUUGCAGAGGAAGGUAAACUUCCAAACUCAUUCUAUGAGGCCACCAUCACCCUAA
Molecule: small nuclear RNA, 181 nt
Gene: U2
Rfam family: U2 spliceosomal RNA
About the family: U2 is a small nuclear RNA (snRNA) component of the spliceosome (involved in pre-mRNA splicing). Complementary binding between U2 snRNA (in an area lying towards the 5' end but 3' to hairpin I) and the branchpoint sequence (BPS) of the intron results the bulging out of an unpaired adenosine, on the BPS, which initiates a nucleophilic attack at the intronic 5' splice site, thus starting the first of two transesterification reactions that mediate splicing.
Source: Ensembl